AUUGAACGCUGGCGGCAGGCCUAACACAUGCAAGUCGCGCGAUUGGCGGACGGGUGAGUAAUGUCUGGGCAUCUGCCUGAUGGAGGGGGAUAACUACUGGAUUCGGUAGCUAAUUCCGCAUACCAUCUGUUGUGCCCAGAUGGGAUUGGCUGGUUGGUGGGGUAACGGCUCACCAAGGCUACGAUCCCUAGCUGGUCUGAGAGGAUGACAAGCCAAACGGGAACGAGGAUAGGGUCCAGACUCGUACGGGAGGCAGCGGCGGGGAUGAUGGUAAAAGGGGCGCAAGCCUGGUGGAGCAAUGCGGCGUGUAUGAAGAAGGCCUUGGGGUUGGAGAGUACUGUCGGCGGGGAGGUGUGAGAUGUAGAAGAAGCAGUUGCUAACUCCGUGCCAGCAGCCGCGGUAAUAC
RNAcentral lists this ribosomal RNA (406 nucleotides) under uncultured bacterium. RNAcentral's name for it is "partial 16S ribosomal RNA". It matches the Rfam family "Bacterial small subunit ribosomal RNA", at positions 28 to 526 of the family's 1533-position model. The record is from RNAcentral.